This 67-nucleotide transfer RNA is filed under the name Coleophora therinella. Its description in RNAcentral is "tRNA-His". The record is from RNAcentral. Lineage: Eukaryota; Metazoa; Arthropoda; Insecta; Lepidoptera; Coleophoridae.
AUUUGAAUAAUUUAAAAUAAAAUAUUGAUUUGUGGAGUCAAAAAUAUGAAUAAUUUCAUUUCAAAUC